AUCCUUUGUAGUUCAUUAGGGUGAUGAUUGGGUGUUCCAGCUGCUGUGUGACAUGUGCCUCCCUCAAAUCCUGUUAUGAAGAAUGCACUUUACCUGUCUGAUG
Molecule: small nucleolar RNA, 103 nt
Organism: Suricata suricatta (meerkat)
Lineage: Eukaryota; Metazoa; Chordata; Mammalia; Carnivora; Herpestidae
Source: Ensembl